Molecule: ribosomal RNA, 442 nt
Filed under: uncultured bacterium
Lineage: Bacteria
Description: partial 16S ribosomal RNA
Rfam family: Bacterial small subunit ribosomal RNA
Source: RNAcentral
CUACGGGGCGCUGCAGUGGGGAAUAUUGGACAAUGGACCAAAAGUCUGAUCCAGUAAUUCUGUGUGUUUGAUGAAGGCCUUCGGGUUGUAAAGAACUUUAAGUAGGGAAGAAGAAAGUGACGGUACCUACAGAAUAAGCGACGGCUAAAUACGUGCCAGCAGCCGCGGUAAUACGUAUGUCGCAAGCGUUAUCCGGAAUUAUUGGGCAUAAAGCGCGUCUAGGCGGUUUACUAAGUCUGAUGUGAAAAUGCGGGGCUCAACUCCGUAUUGCGUUGGAAACUGGUAGACUAGAGUAUUGGAGAGGUAGGCGGAACUACAAGUGUAGAGGUGAAAUUUGUAGAUAUUUGUAGGAAUGCCAAUGACGAAGGUAGCUUACUGGACAAAUACUGACGCUGAAGCGCGAAAGCUAGGGGAGCAAACAGGAUUAGAUACCCGUGUAGUC